RNAcentral lists this ribosomal RNA (274 nucleotides) under uncultured bacterium. RNAcentral describes it as "partial 16S ribosomal RNA". It matches the Rfam family "Bacterial small subunit ribosomal RNA", at positions 523 to 796 of the family's 1533-position model. The record is from RNAcentral.
AUACGGAGGGCGCAAGCGUUGUUCGGAAUCAUUGGGCGUAAAGCGCGCGUAGGCGGCUUGGCAAGUCGGGUGUGAAAUCCCGGGGCUCAACCCCGGAACUGCACUCGAAACUGCCUGGCUAGAGUCCCGGAGAGGAUGGCGGAAUUCCCGGUGUAGAGGUGAAAUUCGUAGAUAUCGGGAGGAACACCAGUGGCGAAGGCGGCCAUCUGGACGGUGACUGACGCUGAGGUGCGAAAGCGUGGGGAGCAAACAGGAUUAGAAACCCCGGUAGUCC